AGAUGACUACUGCAAGGGCCAGGAACAGUCAGUGCUUAGGGGAGCAGCCUUUGAGAAACACUGAGGAGCUUCCCAGGAUUUUCCUAGGAGAACCAUGUCUCUCUCUGUUCAGAGGAUAUGUGAUUACUACAAACUUCAGCAAAGAUUGUUUCUUCACAAGUACUGCUGGCCAGGUUGCAAUCUCCCUUCUAAAAACUGUGCUUUUCCUAUGCUGGUUGUCACUUCUCUGUGGCACAUCUUGCCCUGGAGUGGAAGAAGGAAUUGAUUCAUCGAUGUUGGUGGACAUCCAGGAUCUUGGAAAAGUGACUGUUCUCUAUUAUAUUUUAAUAAAACUACAUAAUAACGGACUGGGUUGGAAGGGAACUGAAAACCCAUCCAAUCCAUGCCCCUGCCAUGGGCAGGGACAUUUUUCACUGUCCCAGGUUGCUCCAAGCCCUGUCCAUUCUGGCCUUGGACACAUCCAGGGAUCCAGGGGCAGCCACAGCUUCUCUGGGCACCUGUGCCAGGGCCUGCCCACCCUCACAGGGAACAAUUCCUUCCCAAAAUCCCAUCCAUCCCUGCUCUCUGUCAGUGUGAAUGCACUCCCCCCUUGUCCUGUCACUAUGUGCUUUUGUAAAUAAUCUUCCUCCAUCUUUCUCCUUGCUCUGGCACUUCCAUCCCCUGUUCUGCAUAUUCAAAAUAUUCUGGUCACACACAUAUUUUUGCUGGGAAGAAAAUCUGUAGGUACCAGUGAGUAUCACUCCUGCUUUUUCUAGUGGUGCUGUGUAUGGCUUCUGUGGGCACUGUUGCACGUCAUAACAAAACCAUCUUUGUCUCUCUCCUCCUGGGAAUAUAAAUUCUUGGCAGCAGAAUGCUUAUUCCAUGUCUCUGUGCAGUGGGACUGGGAGCCCAGGAAGGGUUGUAAGGCUGAUGUGUUCAGCACAAAGCCCAGGUUAGUGUGUCUCAGGAAACAAGUGGCAGAAAUGAAGCUUGUUGCCAUUAUUUCUUGGUUUAAGGAAACUUGAAGGCUUCUCUUUGCUGCCACGUGCUGGAAAUGAGAACUGCUGAGCUCUCCCAGGGGAAAAGUGUCUGAGGACAAAUUUUUUCUGUGAGAUUGACAAAGCAGAGUUAAAGUCAGCUCUGCCCAUUAGGCCUCCAAUUGUCUGAGAGAUUCCACAAACCAGAGUUAAAUGCCUGAGCUGCUGCU
Long non-coding RNA from Zonotrichia leucophrys gambelii, 1186 nucleotides. RefSeq lists it as uncharacterized. The record is from RefSeq and is a predicted model, not a curated record. The transcript has 4 exons. Lineage: Eukaryota; Metazoa; Chordata; Aves; Passeriformes; Passerellidae.